This 460-nucleotide ribosomal RNA is filed under the name uncultured bacterium. RNAcentral describes it as "partial 16S ribosomal RNA". It matches the Rfam family "Bacterial small subunit ribosomal RNA", at positions 338 to 795 of the family's 1533-position model. The record is from RNAcentral.
CCUACGGGGGGCAGCAGUGAGGAAUAUUGGUCAAUGGACGAGAGUCUGAACCAGCCAAGUAGCGUGAAGGAUGACUGCCCUAUGGGUUGUAAACUUCUUUUAUAUGGGAAUAAAAUGUUCCACGUGUGGGAUUUUGUAUGUACCAUAUGAAUAAGGAUCGGCUAACUCCGUACCAGCAGCCGCGGUAAUACGGAGGAUCCGAGCGUUAUCCGGAUUUAUUGGGUUUAAAGGGAGCGUAGGUGGAUUGUUAAGUCAGUUGUGAAAGUUUGCGGCUCAACCGUAAAAUUGCAGUUGAAACUGGCAGUCUUGAGUACAGUAGAGGUGGGCGGAAUUCGUGGUGUAGCGGUGAAAUGCUUAGAUAUCACGAAGAACUCCGAUUGCGAAGGCAGUUCACUGGACUGCAACUGACACUGAGGCUCGAAAGUGUGGGUAUCAAACAGGAUUAGAUACCCCUGUAGUC